AAAUCUAUUCCUAUAGGAAUUCCUAUAGGAAAUUCCUAUAGGAAAUUCUAUUCCUAUAGGAUCCUAUAGGAAUUCCUAUAGGAAUUCCUAUAGGAAU
Molecule: microRNA precursor, 97 nt
Filed under: Paramuricea clavata
Lineage: Eukaryota; Metazoa; Cnidaria; Anthozoa; Malacalcyonacea; Plexauridae
Source: RNAcentral